UAUAUUUAAGUGUUCUGCACAUAAGAUUUUGAAUUUUAUAGUAAUAAUUAUAAAUUAUUAAAUAUAA
This 67-nucleotide transfer RNA is filed under the name Allobathynella sp. JHS-2017. RNAcentral's name for it is "tRNA-Gln". Lineage: Eukaryota; Metazoa; Arthropoda; Malacostraca; Bathynellacea; Parabathynellidae. The record is from RNAcentral.